GUUUUCAUGAAAAUGGCAAUUGAUUCGAGAUUUAGUCAUAUUUUUUUUGUCACGCUUAAAAAAGCGUCCAUAGAGAGAAACCGGCACGCUUUUAAAGCGUGACAACAGGGUUUUAUUAUUGUGGUAUUUUAAAAGUGUAGCCUUCCUAAAAAAAUAUUUUAAAGAGCUCGUACCCUUCAAAUUAAAAUGUCUGAGUUAUUACUAUCUUUCAAAGUUUAUCUUUCUCCUUCUUCAAAGACCCCUAAGCCCUAACUCUUUCAAACAUUAAGGCCCAACUCGUUCAGAAGAUAACCCUAAGCCCUCUCUUCAUUGUGCCUCACCCUCACCUUAACUCCGCGACGAUGACACUCUGAAGAGCCCCAGCGCUCCACGAAGUACCACAUCACUCCGCAAAGAACGUCGCUGCGCUUGCAACGCCUCCGCCGGCAAUCCCUCUUUCGGCACCCCUAACCCUCAUUCUGCGGUGACUCUCUGGUGGUGACUCCCUCUGCUCACUUGCCGUCGCAAACCCUCCGUCGAUGCUCCCUCUGUCGCCGCCCCCUUCCCUCGCUGGAAACCCUUAACCCCUUCCGUGUCGCUCCCUUCCUCGUGCAGGCCGGGGCCCUUCUAUCGAUGCUUCAUUGCUGGUUUUGAGAGCUGGUUUUUGAUGGAUGUGUCCAAGGAUUGGAUGGAUACACCACGUCAUGAAAAAGAAUAUCAACUUGGUAUAGAAAAAAUUUUAUAUUUUGCUUUUUCAUCAACGGGAGUUCCUCAAGAGGAAGAAAUUCAAUGUCCAUGUGCAAAGUGUUGUAAUAGACUUUGGUUAAGGAGAGAUGAGGUGUAUGACCAUCUAAUAUGCAACGGAUUCAUAAAAGGUUAUAGGCGGUGGUUUAAUCAUGGGGAAUCACUUGUUGCUAUGGAUGUUGACAGUGACACAGAUGGUGAAUAUAACUGUAAUGAUAACAUUGAUGAGUUGUUACGUGAUAGAUUCAGAGAUGCUACACAAGUUGAUGGACAAAACAUGGGGUCUAACGAAGGUGCAAAGGAAUUUUAUAAAUUUGUAGACGAGGCAAGCCAAGAACUAUACCUCGGGUCUCAUCAUUAGAGAAGAAGAUGGAUGGUGUAUGUGGUUUAUUAAAGGUAUUGGUACACCAAGUCAAUCCUGGAAUGAGUGACGAAGAGGUAGCAACCUUAGUGCAAGUUGCCCAAAAUUCUCCUUUGGAUGCCUCAAGUAGCAGACUAAGAAAUACUCCUCACUCCUUUGAAUCAACUCACAUUCCACCCAGAGAUGAUGUAAGGUAGUGGUAAAAACAAUUUCGCUCAAAAUGGAUGAUCAAUAAUCACGAAGUUUCAUAUUUUGUAAUGAAGUGUAAAUGAAGUAGAUAAUGUAACCCAUGUUGAAAUUGUAAUUCAUGUAUUAGGAAUUGCAAAUGGAAUUAUAAUGACUUUGAUUUUUGGUAUUUUGUUAGAGCAUGUCAUGUGAUCAAACACAUUUUUUUUUUGUGACAAGUUUAUGAAGCAAG
Non-coding RNA from Arachis ipaensis, 1502 nucleotides. The record is from RefSeq and is a predicted model, not a curated record. Lineage: Eukaryota; Viridiplantae; Streptophyta; Magnoliopsida; Fabales; Fabaceae.